RNAcentral lists this ribosomal RNA (484 nucleotides) under uncultured bacterium. Its description in RNAcentral is "partial 16S ribosomal RNA". It matches the Rfam family "Bacterial small subunit ribosomal RNA", at positions 30 to 507 of the family's 1533-position model. The record is from RNAcentral.
AUUGAACGCUGGCGGCAGGCCUAACACAUGCAAGUCGAGCGGAUGAAGGGAGCUUGCUCCUGGAUUCAGCGGCGGACGGGUGAGUAAUGCCUAGGAAUCUGCCUGGUAGUGGGGGAUAACGUCCGGAAACGGGCGCUAAUACCGCAUACGUCCUGAGGCAGAAAGUGGGGGAUCUUCGGACCUCACGCUAUCAGAUGAGCCUAGGUCGGAUUAGAUAGUUGGUGGGGUAAAGGCCUACCAAGGCGAGGAUCCGUAACUGGUCUGAGAGGAUGAGCAGUCACCCUAGAACUGAGACACCGACAAGAGUACUGAGGGAGGGCGCAGUCGGGAAUAUUGGGCAGCGGGCGAAAGCAUGAUACAGCCAUGCCAAGUGUGUGAAGAAGGUCUUCGGAUUGUAAAGCACUUUAAGUUGGGGGGAAGGGCAGUAAGUUAAUACCUUGCUGUUUUGACGUUACCAACAGAAUAAGCACCGGCUAACUUCGUG